This 222-nucleotide unclassified non-coding RNA is filed under the name Hevea brasiliensis (rubber tree). Lineage: Eukaryota; Viridiplantae; Streptophyta; Magnoliopsida; Malpighiales; Euphorbiaceae. The record is from RNAcentral.
GUGACAUUGCUAUAAAUUGGGCUGGUGGUUUACACCAUGCCAAGAAGUGUGAGGCAUCUGGAUUUUGUUACAUCAACGACUUAGUUUUGGGAAUUUUGGAGCUUCUGAAAUAUCAUGCACGUGUUUUAUACAUUGAUAUAGACGUACAUCAUGGUGAUGGUGUUGAAGAGGCCUUUUAUUUCACUGACAGGGUGAUGACUGUGAGUUUUCACAAGUACGGGG